Molecule: long non-coding RNA, 1079 nt
Filed under: Carassius auratus (goldfish)
Lineage: Eukaryota; Metazoa; Chordata; Actinopteri; Cypriniformes; Cyprinidae
Description: lncRNA (ENSCARG00000069961.1)
Source: RNAcentral
AUGCGGGAACGUUGCGAUAUUUCCUGCUUAAUAUUUUCAGAUAUGGGAAAAGCACUUAAGAUGACCCCACGUUUCAGGAACGUUAAAAUUAAGUUGGUGAGGAGGUCUAUGGUGGGCCCUGCAAGUUUUCUUACCUCAGUCAAGGUCUUCCCCAUCCCAGCUACAAACAGACCCACCCUUCAGACCCUCCUAUUACAUCUCAACCUGCUGAACCUGAUGAUGCGACGCCGAGCUGUUCUGAGAGUGCAUACAGUAAGGCAAAGAAGAGAGAGCUUCAUGCCUGGGAUGCAGUCAAGGAUGAGAUGCUUAAGGUGUCGUUUGAAUGUUCAGCACCGAUCACUACCCAGUGUGCUGUCUGCCGAGAACAUGCUGAUUAUAGGUGCAUUGAGUGCAGCUCCACUGCAGUGUUCUGUGAGGUUUGCCUGAAGAGGAUUCACAGAAAUUCACUGCAUCUUCCUGAAAAGUGGAACAGUGUUUACUAUGAGCCAUCCUCCCUGGGGUUAUUCCUAUAUUUACCUGAAGCCCAUGGCACCCAUGCUGUGACACAAAGGACAUGAAGAUCAUUGUCAGCACAGGUUUUGUCAUUUUACCUGAUACAAAAUCUUAAUGUAUUUAAUUUUAUUGACAGGUUAAGGAAUUCAAUCUAUUACAUGUGGAGUAAUGAUUUCCUUUAAGGAUAUAAUCAAAUUUGUGAUGCAAUAAAAAAAAAAAAGUCGAUGAUGGUUUUGUUUUAUAUAGCGGCGUUCCGUCUGCUAAAUGCAUACAUUUAAUUUAAUUUAUACUGAUAUGGUAGUCGGCUCUGCACCGUUACAGUCUAGAUGUGUGCGUGUGAACCAGAAACCUGUACUCUGCUAAGAUAUGGGCUCUGACCAGCAACAGCCACAAGCCCCAGACAGACAGCCUUCUCCAUCCCUCUGCUAGAGCUUUCUGUUUCUCUGUCACUGGAGUGUCAGGUUUCUCUUGAGGGUUUUUCGCAACACCCCAUAUCCCAUUUUAGGCAUCACCACUUCCGACAAAGAAGUUUGGUUGAUAUUUGCCCACAAUUAAAUGAUGGAACAAUAUGCCCAGCAUGUCCAAAG